AAACGUAACCAUUUAUUUUUACCAGGAUUACUUGCUGAUAAUUUAAACAGCCGGUAUGCAGAGUAGAGUGGAUGAAUGAGCUCUUGUGUGUGUGUGUGUGUGUGUGUGUGUGUGUCGAAGGAAACAUGACCUGGUCCCCCUCCUGCCCAUUGUGCGCCUUAAAGACGUGUAUUGAUGCCUGUCAAUCAGUCCACCACAUCGCUCAGCGAGGACAAGCGAGGGGAAACAAAGAUUUUUUUUUCUUCCUAUGUAGAAGCAGAAAUGUAGAAAACCUCGGAUUAUACCAAAAAAAAAAGAAAACCCCACCCUUGAAUAACAUUACAGGCUGUUAAUCAAUGGCUCGCACCACAGUGGAUUUAAGCAGAGCGGGCGGCCCUUGUCCACAGUCCCUCACCCGUCAUCCUUUAAAGCUCGACCCCUAAACUCCUGUGAAUCCCGGAGUAGGGACGAAGCCAAGGACGGAGCGGGCGGCUCAUUGUGAUUUAAUCUCUCGCUGUCCCUCUCCCUACCGCCAGAACAAACAUCAAAUAUGGCCUCCUUAUCAGGCAGGCCCUGCUCUAUCUAUCUAUCGCCAAUCAAUAUCUUCCACUCUGUGUGUGCAGGAAUUGUGUGUGUGUGUGUGUGUGUGUCUGUGUGUGUGUGUUUGUGUAAAACAGGUCUCCAGGGCUGUGCUAACUAAGGUCAAAGAUCAGGUAUAAGCCUCCAGCGUGGAAAGACAGAUGUGGCUGUGAGGGAAACAAGAUAAAAGAAAGGAAAAGAAGAAAGAAGCGAGAGAUUUAUGGAAGUUGCGUGUGUCCUGAACCACAGAUCAUAAAAAAGAGAGAAGGCACUGUUCUUACCUGCGCGGACGUCGGACUCUCACAAUGGACUGAAGUGCCAGCAACUCAACUCAACUGCAGUCACACAGUGGCGAAGUAUCUCCUUGUUAAACGCUUCCUUUGUUCACAGGGAAUAGACGAACACCAAAAGGCGCAUCUCGUGCUUCCCGUUUGCAGCGAGGAUGUAGAACCGAAUGUUGUGCUGGAGCUUUUCCGCAGAUUGACACACACAACCACCUUCACGUGGACAUGAAAUUAGAAUAGUGAAAAAAGUAUGCAUAUGCACCGAGGGGGGGCUCCUGAGGUGAUAUGACACUCUGGAUGUGCUUCCAUUAAACACGAAACAGCUCCAUAAAGCUGCAAAAUGCUGCUUGAGCUGCAGACGGCUGCAAUGACUGUUAGAUGGAAAGAGAGAGAGAGAGAGAGAGAGAGAGAGAGGUGGUGUUGCUGGUGGAGGAGGGGGGGGGGGGGGCAUCCUUUGUUCUGUCAAGGACUUAACACAAUCAAAGUGUACAGGGGGUCAGGAGCGCACAGGCAUAUAUCAACUUCAAUCUCUUUUUAAUGAAAAAUCCUGCCCUCUCUAAAAUGUGCAAAUUAACCUCUUCUCCUCCCUCCCUCCCCUCCUGCCGCUUCCCCUCCUCUCUCCCUCGGGGAGGCCCCUCGACUCCCACUCUCUUCUUUUGCUCUGCAACCUCGGCCCUGUCCCUCCUCUUCCUCCCUGUUGCCAGCUUCACUUUCAUAAAUGGAUCCACGUCUUCCCCGUUCUCGGGCGGAGGGCAGGGCAGUAAUCAAGCUGAUAGCGGCGUUGAUGGACACAGAGGCUCCUGCUCUGCAUCAACUUGUUGCUUUAGCCGGCCAACCCCGACAGCAAUUAUCGGUCACUUGGGUGCCAAAAAGGAGACAAUAAUAAUAAUAAUACCAACAACUUAAAAUCAAAGCAGAAAAAACGUCCUAAAGUUGUGGGGUCCAGCAAGCGCAUUUUAAAAUCCACCCUUCAUCCUCCUCUGCUCUCUUUGGUCUUCAUCGCUGUCUCUCCCUGAACCAACACACACUCAGAAUCAGGCUAUUACCCUGAUUAUCCCGAUGAGUUGGUCAGAUCCUCGCCUUCUCAUUCUGCCCGUGCUGAUUGUAAUUUAGAAAUUACACCUAAUGAGGAUUUUUUUUUAAAACACGCUCCGCGCUGCCGGCGCCGCGCUGCUCCCUGCCCUAAUGGAUGUACUGGUAUGGAAUCCAUCUUUCCUACUUUCUGCCCUGCAGGGGGUC
Gasterosteus aculeatus aculeatus (three-spined stickleback) is the source of this 2081-nucleotide long non-coding RNA. Lineage: Eukaryota; Metazoa; Chordata; Actinopteri; Perciformes; Gasterosteidae. The record is from Ensembl.